This is a long non-coding RNA of Pezoporus flaviventris, 799 nucleotides long. RefSeq lists it as uncharacterized. The transcript has 2 exons. The record is from RefSeq and is a predicted model, not a curated record. Lineage: Eukaryota; Metazoa; Chordata; Aves; Psittaciformes; Psittacidae.
GGUCCGCAGCUGACGGAGGGAGCUGCGCACCCCGGAGGUGUGUGGGUACCCGCGGGUAGUGUCACGGACACGGACAGGAACCCACGGGGGAGAUGCAGCGUAGCCGGUGCCGGCUGGAAGGCAAGCCGGCGGGCUUCCGUGCAGAAAAGGAGUUAAACCCUGCCGUUGUCCUUUGAUUUAGGAAACGGCUCAUCCAAUUCAGUUCCAGAUUAUUCAGGGGCAGACUGCCUCCCUCGCUCCCUCUCUCCCCACACCAGCCCAAACAUCUUGAAGUAAUCAGCAGCUGAGAACGGAGACGUCCCCCUGGCAUCUCAGGUUAAAGAAGGAGGUCCAGGAAAAUGUGGUAGAGCCAUUACAAGAAACCUGAGAUGCAUUCAUCAGAGACUCCAAUUGCCAUCGCAUUAGGAUUGAUUAGAGACCAGCAGUACCGUAAUGACCCGGAAAGCGGGGCAUACGGGGAUUAUUAAUAUCAGACUUCUUGGGAAAAAAAAAAAAAAGAAAAGGAGAAAAGGAAGCAAGGAGGGAAAAUUUAAAACACAAAAGCACAUCGCGGGGCUGCUGCUCAUAUGCAGACUUACCUGAGGAGCACAGGCACUGGAGAGCCGCAGAGACGAACAGCAAGUGGAUGGGAAAGGAGCCCUCUACAACACAAACCUCAUUGACUUAAUGGGCCGGUUUUGGAUUUCGCCUUCGAAAGGUUCGGAAAGCGACAGCGUUGUGUUACUGCCCCGCCGGCUCCAGCCCCCGUUAUCAUCCCCGUGAGACGGGGCUCCGGAAAAUAAAAAUGUCGCUGAUUUGA